Molecule: non-coding RNA, 45 nt
Organism: Schistosoma rodhaini
Lineage: Eukaryota; Metazoa; Platyhelminthes; Trematoda; Strigeidida; Schistosomatidae
Source: Rfam
AUCCAUAUGACGAGUUCCGAAUAGGAUGAGACGCGCGUCCUGGAU